GACGAACGCUGGCGGCGUGCUUAACACAUGCAAGUCGAGCGAACAAAGCUCCUUCGGGAGUGGAGUUAGCGGCGGACGGGUGAGUAACACGUGGGUAACCUGCCUUAUAGAGGGGGAUAGCCUUCCGAAAGGAAGAUUAAUACCGCAUAAGAAGUAGAAGUCGCAUGGCUUUAGCUUUAAAGGAGCAAUCCGCUAUAAGAUGGACCCGCGGCGCAUUAGCUAGUUGGUGAGGUAACGGCUCACCAAGGCGACGAUGCGUAGCCGACCUGAGAGGGUGAUCGGCCACAUUGGAACUGAGACACGGUCCAGACUCCUACGGGAGGCAGCAGUGGGGAAUAUUGCACAAUGGGCGAAAGCCUGAUGCAGCAACGCCGCGUGGGUGAUGAAGGUUUUCGGAUCGUAAAGCCCUGUCUUUUGGGACGAUAAUGACGGUACCAAAGGAGGAAGCCACGGCUAACUACGUG
RNAcentral lists this ribosomal RNA (464 nucleotides) under uncultured bacterium. RNAcentral describes it as "bacterial SSU rRNA". It matches the Rfam family "Bacterial small subunit ribosomal RNA", at positions 28 to 507 of the family's 1533-position model. The record is from RNAcentral.